GCCCUCGUGCCGAAAUCGGUAGACGGGCCACAAUAGGACUGUGGUGAGCCUGCGGGCUCGUCCGGGUUCGAUCCCCGGCGGGGGCACCU
RNAcentral lists this transfer RNA (89 nucleotides) under Marinicauda salina. Its description in RNAcentral is "Marinicauda sp. WD6-1 tRNA-Pro". The record is from RNAcentral. Lineage: Bacteria; Pseudomonadati; Pseudomonadota; Alphaproteobacteria; Maricaulales; Maricaulaceae.